This is a long non-coding RNA of Ostrinia nubilalis (European corn borer), 2104 nucleotides long. RefSeq lists it as uncharacterized. The transcript is spliced from 2 exons. Lineage: Eukaryota; Metazoa; Arthropoda; Insecta; Lepidoptera; Crambidae. The record is from RefSeq and is a predicted model, not a curated record.
AAAACAUUUGCCAUCAAGAUGCACAGGCAGAAAUAUUAGUCCACAGUUAUAAAAGACCUAAGAAAAACAUUGAAAUGAAAGACACUUCAUCAACAUUUACAAUUAAAGAGAAGAGGCUUUGGCGACAGUUACAAAAUGCAAAAAAAACAAUAAGGAAUAUAGCGAAGUCAAGAGUGAAUUUAGACAAGUUAGAUUCGGAAGUGCUGACAUCGUUAGUAAAGGAUGUAGUGCAGAAUAACAAAAAAAAGUCACAAGGAAAAAGGUGGACUUUAGCCAACAAAAUAUAUGCUUUGGCUAUAUUUAAACGGUCCCCUAAAGCAUACCGCUAUAUGCAAAAGCUGUUUACGCUACCAAGCACUAAAACGCUCCAAAGGAUUUUAAAAAAUAUACCAAUGGAGCCUGGUAUAAAUAAAAAUAUAAUUGAUAUGUUAGAGGCAAAAGCAUCAAGUAUGCCAAAGGAAAAUAAAUAUUGCUCGUUAAUAUUUGACGAGAUGGCGUUAAAGAAACGGAUAAUUUAUAACGAAAUUGCUGAUAAAGUGGAUGGCUACGUGGAUUAUGGUGAGGGCGAGAACAUGGGACGAGAAAAGAAAAUUGCAGACCAUGCGUUAGUGUUUAUGAUACAGGGUGCUAAACAUAAAUACAAACAAUAUAUUGCGCACUAUUUUGUGGAAGGCACAAUAUCAACAGCAAAACUGGCAAAAAUUAUAUCGGACAUCAUCAAAAAAUUAAAAGAAAUCGGAUUUAUGGUUCUAACAACAGUUUGUGAUCAGGGAUCUACAAAUAUAGGAGCUCUUAACAUGUUAAAAAGAAACUGUGGACAAGGCAUAGAUAGCAACUUUUUCUCUGUAAAUAAUGACAAAAUUUUUAUAAUCUAUGACAUCCCUCACUUGUUCAAAUCAUUACGAAACAAUUUCUUUAAAAGUGGAAAUAUGUCUUUCGAUGGAAAAAUUGCACAAUGGAGGCAUUUGGUAGUUGCAGAAGAACACAACAGAAAUUUUUUAAAUUUUAAAAAACUGAAUAGUACCAUUGUAAAUCCAACAUUCAAAACUAAGAUGAGGGUGAAGUAUGCUGCGCAUGCUCUGAGUAAUACCGUGGCAGCUAUUUUAAAAAUGAUGGCAUGGAAAGAAGUUUCUGAUUGCAAUGAUACAGCAUUUGUGAUUGAACAGUUAGAUAAACUAUUUGAUUGUACAAAUGGUCCAUCAUCUUUAAAUGACGUAAAGAAAGGGAUCCGGGAAAAUGUUUCCACAUCAAGUAAUCACAUUGAGUCUUGGACCUUUUAUACUGAUAAGUUAAAAACCAUAAAAUUUAUAACAGCAGAAAACACGAUACUAAAAAAUGUUAAAUGCGUAAAGGGAUAUCAAAUAUCUAUCAAAUCCUUAAACGAUAUUUGGGAAAAGUUAAAGAAUGAAGGGUUUAAAUAUAUGAACCUUAGACAGUUUAACCAAGACUCUCUGGAAAACUUAUUUGGAAUCAUUAGGCAACACAGUGUAACCAAUAGAAAUCCCACUAUCACGCACUUUACUGCAGCGCUUAAAACAAGCAUGGUUACUGGGCUGAAAGUGCCUCAUAGCAGAAGUGCUAAUUGUGAAGCAGACAACAAUAAACAUAUGCUGGAAUAUAAAGACAUUUUAAAAACUAAUUUAAAAACAACAGAAAUAAAAAUUAAUGUUCAAGAUUCCACAGACACUGAAUUUUAUCCUGUGUUGUCUAUCCCGGACCCUGAAAACUUAGAACAGCCCAUUGAAAAUUUGUGUAGCCUUGAAAACCAACCAGUAGUAUAUGUAAGCGGGUAUUUAGCUGCCAAACUAUUACAGAACAGUUCUUGUUUAAUUUGUGAAGAGUGUUUGAGCGUGAAAACUCCUGUUGACAAUGAUUUGUAUGCAUAUAUAUCUCUUCGCGAAUGGUGGCAUGAUAAAAAAAGUCUCGUUUAUCCAACAAUUCAAUUAUGUACCACCGUAAAUGAAGCUAAACAAUUUUAUCAUGACCAUAUUGCCGACCAGAUAUAUAUGGAAAAUGUUGGAAAAUUCAUUUUCUUAAUGUUGAGUACAAAUUGUAAUUUUAGUUGGUUUAAAUGUCAACAACAUAAUAAAGAAAUUUAUGAUAA